RNAcentral lists this ribosomal RNA (2820 nucleotides) under Triticum aestivum (bread wheat). RNAcentral describes it as "partial small subunit ribosomal RNA". The record is from RNAcentral. Lineage: Eukaryota; Viridiplantae; Streptophyta; Magnoliopsida; Poales; Poaceae.
AUGGCGGCCGACAUGGAGAUGCCAGAUCCGGAGGAGCUCGAGUGGAUGGAGAGCAACGGCCUCCUCCCGGAAGAAGAGGAGUACGCCUACUUCGACGACCCCGCUGAGGGCUUCCUCCCGGCCGCCGGCGACGCGUGCAAACCGCCCGCCCCCCCGCAGGAGACCGCCACCUCCCCCGCAAAGCCCGCAGAUGAGGUGUCGGACGCCAAUCUGAAGCGGCCUCCCCCUCCGCCUCCGCCGGAGCAGGAGGAGGACAGGAGCAAGAGGAGGAAUGUCGAUCGGGUGGAUUCGGUGGACGAAGACUGGCUGCGGUACUCGCCCCCUCCCGCCGCCGAAGCCGUCGCCGAGAAGAUUGUGUCGCGGUUCGCGUCGGAGAUCCAGGGGGACUCUAUGCCCGUCACAGCGCCCAACGGAGAAAGAGUUUAUGCCAAGCUUGCGACGGAGAAAUUGGUUAGCGAAGUAAUUGAGGGAACUGGGCGAAGGACUUCAAUUUCCAACCACGAUGGGCUUCUCCCAGAAUCAUUUCAUUCGUUGACUAUGCAAGCGGAACAAGAGGCUCUAGCAAAGGCCUUGAUGGAAAGCACAGAGGCACAGUAUGUCGAGGGUUGUCCGUUGACUCCAAUAGUCACAGAACAACUUUGGGUGGAGAAAUAUGCACCACACUCUUUUACAGAGCUGUUAAGUGAUGAGCACACAAACAGGGAGGUACUUCUAUGGUUAAAACAAUGGGACUCCUGUGUGUUUGGGUCCCAUAUCCAGGGUACAAGUGAUGAUACUUUAUCCGCCUUACGUAGACAUUCUUGUACCAUUCAAAAGAACUCAAGUAGCAGAAGUUUCUUUUCCAAGAGCAGGGGAGCCUAUGUCAUGGGUCAAGAUAGCAUGCCCCAAAAUACACCUGGUAGCAACUCAGAAGAUUUGAAAAGCACCUUUCACAAAAAGCCUUCCGUUGAUAACGCACCAGAACAGAAGGUGUUGCUACUAUGUGGUCCAGCUGGCCUUGGGAAGACAACACUUGCUCACGUGGCAGCUAAACAUUGUGGUUACCAUGUUGUGGAGAUAAAUGCCAGUGAUGAUCGUUCUGCUUCAUCCAUUGAACCAAAAAUUCUUGAUGUAGUUCAGAUGAACUCUAUCAUGUCAGAUUCCAAACCUAAGUGUCUGGUAAUUGAUGAAAUUGAUGGAGCGCUUGGUGAUGGAAAAGGGGCAGUGGAGGUUAUUCUAAAGAUGAUCAAUGCUGAUAAGAACAACAAUUCUGACAGAAGCAAUGGAGCUGAAGAAACUCAAGUCCAAAAGGCUUCCUCAAGGAAAAGUCAUAGAACAGCAAAACUACUGAGGCCUGUAAUUUGUAUAUGCAAUGACCUGUAUGCUCCAGCCUUGAGAAAACUACGCCAAGUAGCCAAGGUUCAUAUUUUUGUGCAGCCAACGAUUAGUCGUGUGGUGAACAGGCUCAAGUACAUAUGCAAGAAGGAAGGAUUCAAGACAAGUUCAAUUGCUCUUUCUGCAUUAGCGGAUUAUACUGAAUGUGACAUCCGAUCAUGCCUGAACACUCUUCAAUUUCUGAACAAGAAAAGAGAGGCACUAAACAUUUCAGGGUUUGAUUCACAAGUCAUUGGAAGGAAGGACAUGUCCAAAAGCAUCCUUGAUGUUUGGAAACAGGUUCUUCAAAAGAAAAAACUCAAGCGGGCGGAAAUGGCAGAUUGUAAUGUGAGCGGAGACAAGGACAUUGGCUCUCUGUUCUCACUCAUAUCUAACCGUGGUGAUUAUGAUGUUACUAUGGAUGGGAUUCAUGAGAACUUCUUAAAACUCUCUUACCAUGACCCAAUGCUGCACAAGACGGUGAAAUGCCUUGAUGUACUUGGAGUUUCUGAUUAUUUGACGCAAUAUGUUUACCGAACUCAGCAUAUGUCACUCCAAGCAUAUCAACCUCCUAUUGCCAUCACUAUAAGCCGUAUCGUUGCUCAAGUUGAGAAGCCAAAUAUUGAGUGGCCGAAAGCCCUGCAAAGGUGCCGAACAAUGCUUUUGGAAAAGAAGGACACAUUGAAGACCUGGCAAAACCGAAUGCCACCGCUCAUUUCAAGGCACCUGUCAGUGGAAUCUUUUGUUGGAGACAUUGCUUCCCCCUUUUUACAUAUUCUUUCGCCGUUGAAUCUGAGACCUGUGGCACUGAAUUUGAUGUCAGAGAGGGAAAAAAAUGAACUUGUGCAGCUAGUUGAUACUAUGGUUGCUUACUCGGUUACAUACAAAAACACAAAGUUUGAACCUCAAGAAAGGGCAAAUGGAUCUAUUGUGCCUAUGGAUAUUCCUUCACUUUCUUUUGAUCCUCCAAUCAAUGAUAUCAUAAGCUUUAAGGAUUAUCAAUCCGAGCACAUUGGUCUCUCUUUGGCCAUGAAACAGGUCUUGGUGCACGAGGUAGAGAAGCAAAAAAUCAUCAAAGAUAGUGCAGGAAAAUUGUUGAACCAAAUUAAUGAAGGAGUUAGGAGUGAAGUUCCAACAACUACAUGCCAGAAAACAGCGACUGGUACUGCAUGUGAUACUUCUCAGGGUAGCUCUAAGGGCAAAUCAUCUACACUUCCAACGCAGCUAAACUCAGCCUCUAGUUUGAGUGGUAAAGGUCUUGCACAUGCAAAGAGACCCUCAAGUCACCCAACUGAUUUCUUUCAAAGCUUUAGGAAAGAAAGACCAGGGGGUGCAAAGACUCAUAUUGAUGCUGGGCAGCAAGGAGCAACAGUUCAGAGGGAUUUGCGCCCGCUUAUCUUCAAAUAUAAUGAGGGCUACACAAAUGCAGUUAAAAGGCCAGUCAGAGUUCGCGACCUUCUGCUCUAG